RNAcentral lists this ribosomal RNA (498 nucleotides) under uncultured Glomus. RNAcentral describes it as "SSU rRNA". It matches the Rfam family "Eukaryotic small subunit ribosomal RNA", at positions 591 to 1092 of the family's 1831-position model. Lineage: Eukaryota; Fungi; Glomeromycota; Glomeromycetes; Glomerales; Glomeraceae. The record is from RNAcentral.
CCAAUAGCGUAUAUUAAAGUUGCUGCAGUUAAAAAGCUCGUAGUUGAAUUUCGGGAUCAAUAUGUUGGUCGUGCCUUGGUACGUACUAGCUUAUUGAUUUCUUCCUUCUGAUGAACCAUGAUGUCAUUAAUUUGGUGUCAUGGGGAAUCAGGACUGUUACUUUGAAAAAAUUAGAGUGUUUAAAGCAGGCUAACGCUUGAAUACAUUAGCAUGGAAUAAUGAAAUAGGACAUCAGAUUCUAUUUUGUUGGUUUCUAGGAUCGAUGUAAUGAUUAAUAGGGAUGGUUGGGGGCAUUAGUAUUCAAUUGUCAGAGGUGAAAUUCUUGGAUUUAUUGAAGACUAACUACUGCGAAAGCAUUUGCCAAGGAUGUGUUCAUUAAUCAAGAACGAAAGUUAGGGGAUCGAAGACGAUCAGAUACCGUCGUAGUCUUAACCAUAAACUAUGCCGACUAGGGAUCGGAUGAUGUUAAUUUUUUAAUGACUCAUUCGGCGCCUUACG